Molecule: ribosomal RNA, 497 nt
Filed under: uncultured bacterium
Lineage: Bacteria
Description: partial 16S ribosomal RNA
Rfam family: Bacterial small subunit ribosomal RNA
Source: RNAcentral
ACUCAAAUGAAUUGACGGGGGCCCGCACAAGCGGUGGAGCAUGUGGUUCAAUUCGACGCAACGCGAAGAACCUUACCUGGGCUCGAACGGCUGCGGACAAUCCUUAGAAAUAGGGACUUCCCGCAAGGGACCGUAGUCGAGGUGCUGCAUGGCUGUCGUCAGCUCGUGUCGUGAGAUGUUGGGUUAAGUCCCGCAACGAGCGCAACCCUCGUCCUGUGUUGCUAACCGCAAGGUGCACUCGCAGGAGACUGCCGGCGAUAAGCUGGAGGAAGGUGGGGAUGACGUCAAGUCAUCAUGGCCUUUAUGUCCAGGGCUACACACGUGCUACAAUGGGCGGUACAAUGCGUUCCCAAACCGCGAGGUGGAGGCAAUCGCAAAAAACCGUUCUCAGUUCGGAUCGCAGGCUGCAACUCGCCUGCGUGAAGCUGGAAUCGCUAGUAAUGGCACAUCAGCACGGUGCCGUGAAUACGUUCCCGGGCCUUGUACACACCGCCCGU